GACCCCUCUGGUGGUCUAGUGGUAAGAAUGUCUGCCUCAGAUGCUGGAGGUCAUGGGUUCAAACCCCAGCUGAGUCA
Molecule: non-coding RNA, 77 nt
Organism: Potamilus streckersoni
Lineage: Eukaryota; Metazoa; Mollusca; Bivalvia; Unionida; Unionidae
Source: the annotation of a GenBank genome assembly